Molecule: ribosomal RNA, 539 nt
Filed under: uncultured bacterium
Lineage: Bacteria
Description: bacterial SSU rRNA
Rfam family: Bacterial small subunit ribosomal RNA
Source: RNAcentral
CAAGUCGAGCGAACUGAUUAGAAGCUUGCUUCUAUGAAGUUAGCGGCGGACGGGUGAGUAACACGUGGGCAACCUGCCUGUAAGACUGGGAUAACUUCGGGAAACCGAAGCUAAUACCGGAUAGGAUCUUCUCCUUCAUGGGAGAUGAUUGAAAGAUGGUUUCGGCUAUCACUUACAGAUGGGCCCGCGGUGCAUUAGCUAGUUGGUGAGGUAACGGCUCACCAAGGCAACGAUGCAUAGCCGACCUGAGAGGGUGAUCGGCCACACUGGGACUGAGACACGGCCCAGACUCCUACGGGAGGCAGCAGUAGGGAAUCUUCCGCAAUGGACGAAAGUCUGACGGAGCAACGCCGCGUGAGUGAUGAAGGCUUUCGGGUCGUAAAACUCUGUUGUUAGGGAAGAACAAGUGCGAGAGUAACUGCUCGUACCUUGACGGUACCUAACCAGAAAGCCACGGCUAACUACGUGCCAGCAGCCGCGGUAAUACGUAGGUGGCAAGCGUUAUCCGGAAUUAUUGGGCGUAAAGCGCGCGCAGGCGG